This 270-nucleotide long non-coding RNA is filed under the name Rattus norvegicus (Norway rat). Its description in RNAcentral is "long non-coding RNA NONRATT014912". The record is from RNAcentral. Lineage: Eukaryota; Metazoa; Chordata; Mammalia; Rodentia; Muridae.
CAAAGCCCUGCAAUAAGAAGCACAUCUCUAAUCCACUUGGGUUCUGUGCAGUUUCCAGAGAGUAGGCUCUUGGUGUGGAGAUUGUUUUCUGAAGAUCACUGCAAUGGAGCAACAGUGGAGCAGGAGUUUCCCUUUCAUCCCUAACUACGAGAGUCGAAAGAAUAAACUGACAAGACAGAAUCCUUCUGGGCUGGUGGAGAAAGGCUGGCGAUGGUAUGGAAAUUUAGACUACUGUUGAAAGUAAUAAAAGGAUGGCAAGCCUGACAGUCA